AAUGUGACAAAUUUCAAACAAAUACAUUAAUAUGACAAAUUUCAUUACAAAAGUUCAUUUUUGUCCACAAAAUCCGGUCCCGAUUUCUCCCUAGGACUUUCACUCGAAAGUAACUCAAAACUUACAACUUUAAGAAUGAAACAUAAAUUUGAAUUGGCAAGUUAACCAGCAUCAAAGAUAACAUUCAGUUCAAGAAAACAUAUAUUCACAUAACUGAAAUUACAAUUUCAUUUAAAAGAAAAUACAAUUCUAGUCGGCCAAAUUCCAAUCUCAUUCCCUUCAGUUACGUGCUCUUUCUUUGCAUACAGUCACAUUCGUAGAAAUCUCUGUGUCUUGUUCAUCAGUUAACCGUGCUCUUUCUUUCCUCUCAUGNNN
This 375-nucleotide long non-coding RNA is filed under the name Olea europaea (common olive). RNAcentral describes it as "long non-coding RNA (OEUR_LNC008258)". The record is from RNAcentral. Lineage: Eukaryota; Viridiplantae; Streptophyta; Magnoliopsida; Lamiales; Oleaceae.